This 431-nucleotide ribosomal RNA is filed under the name uncultured bacterium. RNAcentral's name for it is "partial 16S ribosomal RNA". It matches the Rfam family "Bacterial small subunit ribosomal RNA", at positions 338 to 795 of the family's 1533-position model. The record is from RNAcentral.
CCUACGGGAGGCAGCAGUAAGGAAUAUUGGGCAAUGGACGCAAGUCUGACCCAGCCAUGCCGCGUGAAGGAUGAAGGUCUCUGGAUUGUAAACUUCUUUUUUCUGGGGCGCAGUACCAGAAGAAUAAGCACCGGCUAACUCCGUGCCAGCAGCCGCGGUAAUACGGAGGGUGCAAGCGUUAUCCGGAUUCACUGGGUUUAAAGGGUGCGUAGGUGGGCAGGUAAGUCAGUGGUGAAAUCCCCGAGCUUAACUUGGGAACUGCCGUUGAUACUAUCUGUCUUGAAUAUCGUGGAGGUUAGCGGAAUAUGUCAUGUAGCGGUGAAAUGCAUAGAGAUGACAUAGAACACCAAUUGCGAAGGCAGCUGGCUACACGUAUUGACACUGAGGCACGAAAGCGUGGGGAGCAAACAGGAUUAGAUACCCUUGUAGUC